This 337-nucleotide unclassified non-coding RNA is filed under the name soil metagenome. Its description in RNAcentral is "partial contains 5.8S ribosomal RNA, internal transcribed spacer 2, and large subunit ribosomal RNA". The stretch from base 1 to 120 matches the Rfam family "5.8S ribosomal RNA", at positions 35 to 154 of the family's 154-position model. The record is from RNAcentral.
GAUGAAGAACGCAGCGAAAUGCGAUAAGUAGUGUGAAUUGCAGAAUUCAGUGAAUCAUCGAAUCUUUGAACGCACAUUGCGCCCCUUGGUAUUCCAUGGGGCGUGCCUGUUCGAGCGUCAUUUGUACCUUCAAGCUCUGCUUGGUGUUGGGUGUUUGUCUCGCCUCUGCGUGUAGACUCGCCUCAAAACAAUUGGCAGCCGGCGUAUUGAUUUCGGAGCGCAGUACAUCUCGCGCUUUGCACUCAUAACGACGACGUCCAAAAGUACAUUUUUACACUCUUGACCUCGGAUCAGGUAGGGAUACCCGCUGAACUUAAGCAUAUCAAUAAGCGGAGGA